GCGGGAGUAGCUCAGUUGGUAGAGCGUCAGCCUUCCAAGCUGAAUGUACGCCAGUUCGACCCUGGUUCUACCCG
Molecule: transfer RNA, 74 nt
Filed under: Jejuia pallidilutea
Lineage: Bacteria; Pseudomonadati; Bacteroidota; Flavobacteriia; Flavobacteriales; Flavobacteriaceae
Description: tRNA-Gly
Rfam family: tRNA
About the family: Transfer RNA (tRNA) molecules are approximately 80 nucleotides in length. Their secondary structure includes four short double-helical elements and three loops (D, anti-codon, and T loops). Further hydrogen bonds mediate the characteristic L-shaped molecular structure. tRNAs have two regions of fundamental functional importance: the anti-codon, which is responsible for specific mRNA codon recognition, and the 3' end, to which the tRNAs corresponding amino acid is attached (by aminoacyl-tRNA synthetases). tRNAs cope with the degeneracy of the genetic code in two manners: having more than one tRNA (with a specific anti-codon) for a particular amino acid; and 'wobble' base-pairing, i.e. permitting non-standard base-pairing at the 3rd anti-codon position.
Source: RNAcentral